CAACCUGCCUCAUAGAGAGGAAUAGCCUUACCGAAAGGGAGAUUAAUACCUCAUAACAUUGCAGUUUCGCAUGGAACAGCAAAUUAAAGGAGUAAUCCGCUAUGAGAGUCGGGCCCGCGGCGCAUUAGCUAGUUGGUGAGGUAACGGCUCACCAAGGCGACGAUGCGUAGCCGACCUGAGAGGGUGAGUCGGCCACAGUUGGGACUGAGACACCGGCCCAGACUCCGUACGGGAGGCAGCAGGUGGGGAAUAUUGCACAAUGGGGGAAACCCUGAUGCAAGCAACGCCGCGUGAGUGAUGACGGCCUUCGGGUUGUAAAGCUCUGUCUUCAGGGACGAUAAUGACGGUACCUGAGGAGGAAGCCACGGCUAACUACGUGCCAGCAGCCGC
RNAcentral lists this ribosomal RNA (390 nucleotides) under uncultured bacterium. RNAcentral describes it as "bacterial SSU rRNA". It matches the Rfam family "Bacterial small subunit ribosomal RNA", at positions 122 to 518 of the family's 1533-position model. The record is from RNAcentral.